Molecule: ribosomal RNA, 492 nt
Filed under: uncultured bacterium
Lineage: Bacteria
Description: partial 16S ribosomal RNA
Rfam family: Bacterial small subunit ribosomal RNA
Source: RNAcentral
AUUGAACGCUGGCGGCAUGCUUUACACAUGCAAGUCGAACGGUAACAGGCCUUCGGGUGCUGACGAGUGGCGCACGGGUGAGUAAUGCAUCGGAACGUACCCAGAGGUGGGGGAUAACGCAGCGAAAGCUGUGCUAAUACCGCAUGUGAUCUGAGGAUGAAAGCGGGGGACCGAGCAGCAAUGUUUGGCCUCGCGCCUUUGGAGCGGCCGAUGUCGGAUUAGCUAGUUGGUGGGGUAAAGGCCUACCAAGGCGACGAUCCGUAGCUGGUCUGAGAGGACGACCAGCCACACUGGGACUGAGACACGGCCCAGACUCCUACGGGAGGCAGCAGUGGGGAAUUUUGGACAAUGGGCGCAAGCCUGAUCCAGCAAUGCCGCGUGCGGGAAGAAGGCCUUCGGGUUGUAAACCGCUUUUGGCAGGAACGAAACGGUGUCCGCUAAUACCGGGCGAUAAUGACGGUACCUGCAGAAUAAGCACCGGCUAACUACGUG